This 358-nucleotide unclassified non-coding RNA is filed under the name soil metagenome. Its description in RNAcentral is "partial contains 5.8S ribosomal RNA, internal transcribed spacer 2, and large subunit ribosomal RNA". The stretch from base 1 to 120 matches the Rfam family "5.8S ribosomal RNA", at positions 35 to 154 of the family's 154-position model. The record is from RNAcentral.
GAUGAAGAACGCAGCGAAAUGCGAUAAGUAAUGUGAAUUGCAGAAUUCAGUGAAUCAUCGAAUCUUUGAACGCACAUUGCGCCCGUCAGUAUUCUGGCGGGCAUGCCUGUUCGAGCGUCAUUACGCCCCUCAAGUCCCCUGUGGACUUGGUGUUGGGGAUCGGCGAGGCUGGUUUUCCAGCACAGCCGUCCCUUAAAUUAAUUGGCGGUCUCGCCGUGGCCCUCCUCUGCGCAGUAGCAAAACACUCGCAACAGGAGCCCGGCGCGGUCCACUGCCGUAAAACCCCCCAACUUUUUAUAGUUGACCUCGAAUCAGGUAGGACUACCCGCUGAACUUAAGCAUAUCAAUAAGCGGAGGA